Molecule: non-coding RNA, 72 nt
Organism: Phthorimaea operculella (potato tuberworm)
Lineage: Eukaryota; Metazoa; Arthropoda; Insecta; Lepidoptera; Gelechiidae
Source: the annotation of a GenBank genome assembly
GCAUCGAUAGCUCAGUGGCAGAGCGGUGGGGCGUUUACCCAUGCGGCCGGGGUUCGAUUCCCGGUCGAUGUA